UAGCAUAUCAAUAAGCGGAGGAAAAGAAACCAACAGGGAUUGCCCUAGUAACGGCGAGUGAAGCGGCAACAGCUCAAAUUUGAAAUCUGGCCUCUUUGGGGUCCGAGUUGUAAUUUGCAGAGGGCGCUUUGGUGUCGGCAGCGGUCCAAGUUCCUUGGAACAGGACGUCACAGAGGGUGAGAAUCCCGUACGUGGUCGCUAGCCUUCACCGUGUAAAGCCCCUUCGACGAGUCGAGUUGUUUGGGAAUGCAGCUCUAAAUGGGAGGUAAAUUUCUUCUAAAGCUAAAUACUGGCCAGAGACCGAUAGCGCACAAGUAGAGUGAUCGAAAGAUGAAAAGCACUUUGGAAAGAGAGUCAAACAGCACGUGAAAUUGUUGAAAGGGAAGCGCUUGCAGCCAGACUUGCCUGUAGUUGCUCAUCCGGGCUUUUGCCCGGUGCACUCUUCUAUAGGCAGGCCAGCAUCAGUUUGAGCGGUUGGAUAAAGGUCUCUGUCAUGUACCUCUCUUUGGGGAGAACUUAUAGGGGAGACGACAUGCAACCAGCCCAGACUGAGGUCCGCGCAUUUGCUAGGAUGCUGGCGUAAUGGCUGUAAGCGGCCCGUCUUGAAACACGGACCAAGGAGUCUAACAUCUAUGCGAGUGUUUGGGUGUCAAGCCCGAGCGCGCAAUGAAAGUGAACGGAGGUGGGAACCCCUUGGGGUGCACCAUCGACCGAUCCUGAUGUCUUCGGAUGGAUUUGAGUAAGAGCAUAGCUGUUGGGACCCGAAAGAUGGUGAACUAUGCUUGAAUAGGGUGAAGCCAGAGGAAACUCUGGUGGAGGCUCGCAGCGGUUCUGACGUGCAAAUCGAUCGUCAAAUUUGGGCAUAGGGGCGAAAGACUAAUCGAACUAUCUAGUAGCUGGUUCCUGCCGA
This 910-nucleotide ribosomal RNA is filed under the name Phaeomycocentrospora cantuariensis. RNAcentral's name for it is "LSU rRNA". It matches the Rfam family "Eukaryotic large subunit ribosomal RNA", at positions 36 to 964 of the family's 3401-position model. Lineage: Eukaryota; Fungi; Ascomycota; Dothideomycetes; Pleosporales. The record is from RNAcentral.